UUAGGUAAAUCCGGCUCUCUCUAAGGCUGAGACACGACGUCGAGCUGCUACGGCAGUGAAGUCAUUGAUGCCAUGCUUCCAGGAAAAGCCUCUAAGCUUCAGAUAGUCAGGAAUCGUACCCCAAACCGACACAGGUGGUCGGGUAGAGAAUACCAAGGCGCUUGAGAGAACUCGGGUGAAGGAACUAGGCAAAAUGGUACCGUAACUUCGGGAGAAGGUACGCUCUUGAUGGUGAAGUCCCUCGCGGAUGGAGCUGACGAGAGUCGCAGAUACCAGGUGGCUGCAACUGUUUAUUAAAAACACAGCACUGUGCAAAAUCGCAAGAUGACGUAUACGGUGUGACGCCUGCCCGGUGCCGGAAGGUUAAUUGAUGGGGUUAGCGCAAGCGAAGCUCUUGAUCGAAGCCCCGGUAAACGGCGGCCGUAACUAUAACGGUCCUAAGGUAGCGAAAUUCCUUGUCGGGUAAGUUCCGACCUGCACGAAUGGCGUAAUGAUGGCCACGCUGUCUCCACCCGAGACUCAGUGAAAUUGAAAUCGCUGUGAAGAUGCAGUGUACCCGCGGCUAGACGGAAAGACCCCGUGAACCUUUACUACAGCUUGGCACUGAACAUUGAACCUACAUGUGUAGGAUAGGUGGGAGGCUUUGAAGACGUGACGCCAGUUGCGUUGGAGCCGUCCUUGAAAUACCACCCUUGUAUGUUUGAUGUUCUAACUUAGACCCGUUAUCCGGGUUGAGGACAGUGCCUGGUGGGUAGUUUGACUGGGGCGGUCUCCUCCCAAAGAGUAACGGAGGAGCACGAAGGUGGGCUAAUCACGGUUGGACAUCGUGAGGUUAGUGCAAUGGCAUAAGCCCGCUUAACUGCGAGAAUGACGGUUCGAGCAGGUGCGAAAGCAGGUCAUAGUGAUCCGGUGGUUCUGUAUGGAAGGGCCAUCGCUCAACGGAUAAAAGGUACUCCGGGGAUAACAGGCUGAUACCGCCCAAGAGUUCAUAUCGACGGCGGUGUUUGGCACCUCGAUGUCGGCUCAUCACAUCCUGGGGCUGAAGUCGGUCCCAAGGGUAUGGCUGUUCGCCAUUUAAAGUGGUACGCGAGCUGGGUUUAGAACGUCGUGAGACAGUUCGGUCCCUAUCUGCCGUGGGCGUUGGAAGAUUGAAGGGGGCUGCUCCUAGUACGAGAGGACCGGAGUGGACGAACCUCUGGUGUUCGGGUUGUGUCGCCAGACGCAUUGCCCGGUAGCUAAGUUCGGAAUUGAUAAGCGCUGAAAGCAUCUAAGCGCGAAGCGAGCCCUGAGAUGAGUCUUCCCUGAUACUUUAAGUAUCCUAAAGGGUUGUUCGAGACUAGAACGUUGAUAGGCAGGGUGUGUAAGCGUUGUGAGGCGUUGAGCUAACCUGUACUAAUUGCCCGUGAGGCUUAACCAU
Molecule: ribosomal RNA, 1417 nt
Filed under: Vibrio cholerae HE48
Lineage: Bacteria; Pseudomonadati; Pseudomonadota; Gammaproteobacteria; Vibrionales; Vibrionaceae
Description: bacterial LSU rRNA
Rfam family: Bacterial large subunit ribosomal RNA
Source: RNAcentral